Ahaetulla prasina is the source of this 893-nucleotide long non-coding RNA. RefSeq lists it as uncharacterized. The transcript is spliced from 3 exons. NCBI's taxonomy places the organism in Eukaryota, Metazoa, Chordata, Lepidosauria, Squamata, Colubridae. The record is from RefSeq and is a predicted model, not a curated record.
UACAAGUAGGAGCUUGCCGAGCCUGAAGUUAGAAGGCUAGCCUACAAAGGAUCAAAACGAAGGAGCCAUGGUGGCUACGCUGUGCAAGAAAGAGGCAGACGAGAAGUUGUGAGAAGCAGCCAGAAGUUGCCACCGUGUGAAUUUUCUGCCCAAGGUUUCCAGGGCUGCCAGAGUUUCUGGCAGCUUGCUUUCUCAAGCAAGAAACUUCGCUUUCUCUGUCUAAAGGUCUUUUCUCAUGAUUUUGCUUCCCUGGGAGUGGCAGCGAGGCCCUGCCUUUUCACUGGCAGGCUUCUUUUCAGAUCUCAUAGCAUGGGGUAAAGGUUCCCCUCGCACAUAUGUGCUAGUCGUUGCCGACUCUAGGGGGCGGUGCUCGUCUCCGUUUCAAAGCCGAAGAGCCAGCGCUGUCCAAAGACGUCUCUGUGGUCAUGUGGCCGGCAUGACUCAAUGCCAAAAGGCGCACGGAACGCUGUUACCUUCCCAUCAGAGGAAGCGCUGAAGUCAACAAAAGAGGAACUCAGAUGGAAGGCUUGUGUCAAAGACUGCCAACUGCAAAAUAUGGAUAUAAUUUUAGAACAUUAUUUUAUAAUUAAAGUAAUAAGUGGGGUUUCCUGCUAUUGUUUAAAGAUGUGUCGUGAUACAUUUAAAUCAUGGAUGAAAAUAUAAGAAAAUGCUACUAAGACAGACGUUGGCAGCAAAGCUGGUACCAAGGGGAAAGAGCAGGCGAAGGACAUGUGCAAACAAUUUCGUGGGAAUAGUUCUGUUUAUGGCAUGUAGAUUUUGUUUUAGGAACUCUAACCACUUAGAAAGUAUUUUCAUUCAUGCCAGAAUGAGGUUUUGCUUGUUUGUUAUUGAACAUCUUAUGUGGAUAAACUAUUUUUUUUUUUACUGGCAAA